GUAGGUGGCAAGCGUUGUCCGGAUUUAUUGGGUUUAAAGGGUGCGUAGGCGGUCUUGUAAGUCAGUGGUGAAAUACGGCAGCUUAACUGUCGAGGUGCCAUUGAUACUGUGAGACUUGAGUACAGACGAGGUAGGCGGAAUUGACGGUGUAGCGGUGAAAUGCUUAGAUAUCGUCAAGAACACCGAUAGCGAAGGCAGCUUACUAGACUGUAACUGACGCUGAUGCACGAAAGUGUGGGGAUCAAACAGGAUUAGAUACCCUGGUAGUCCACACUGUAAACGAUGAUUACUCGAUGUUGGCGAUAUACGGCCAGCGUCUUAGCGAAAGCGAUAAGUAAUCCACCUGGGGAGUACGCCGGCAACGGUG
RNAcentral lists this ribosomal RNA (367 nucleotides) under uncultured bacterium. Its description in RNAcentral is "bacterial SSU rRNA". It matches the Rfam family "Bacterial small subunit ribosomal RNA", at positions 527 to 896 of the family's 1533-position model. The record is from RNAcentral.